This 715-nucleotide long non-coding RNA is filed under the name Ananas comosus (pineapple). RNAcentral's name for it is "long non-coding RNA (ACOM_LNC027559)". The record is from RNAcentral. Lineage: Eukaryota; Viridiplantae; Streptophyta; Magnoliopsida; Poales; Bromeliaceae.
UUGUAGUUUAGAGCUUAAGGUUUAGGGUUUAUGUGAAAGCAUGAGUUGGUAAUUUAUUUGUUGUGAAAGAUGAUAUGAUUAAUGCAUUGUUCACUUUUUAAUUAAGAGUAUUCAAAGGAUUAUUGAAUGAAGAAGGUAACAUGUUAGCUUUCUUUCAAAAAAAAAGUAUUCUGAGGAAUAAAAUCUAGGCUGAAGUCACUACAACAGAAUUAGGUUAUAGGGACACAUGUUUGGAACACUUUUGAGUAAGUGUCACAUUUAUGCUAAAACUUAAAAACACAUCUACUAAUAUCUAAAUAUAAAGCACAAUCCAACUAAAAAUAAAAGAUUACUCUACUCAACCGAUCACACACAGUCCAUUUGGCCCAAUUACAAAUAAAAAAAAAAAAAUCAAUUACCAUUUUUUCUUUUCUCUCCACUCAAUCCACUGAAAUUCUAGACGAAGAGCCUUUACUGUCGUCCUCCUCCGCCACCGCAGCCAACGAGAUAGAGUUUCGGCAGUUGCUAAAUGCUUAAAUAAGUGUUGAUAAAUUAGCAACACUCUUUUAGGUUAUAGCGACACUCUUUAACUGUCACUAUAUACCUAGCGUCUCCACAUAUAGCAACACUUUUUAAAAGUAUCGGUAAUUUUAGCUAGCAGUACUUUUUUAUCAUGUACCUACAUUUAAAAGUGUCGCUAUAGAUCGUUUUUGUUGUAGUGAGUGAGUAGUUUCUC